AACGAACGCUGGCGGCGUGGAUAAGACAUGCAAGUCGAACGGAAUUACUUUUGUAGCAAUACAGAAGUAAUUCAGUGGCGAACGGGUGCGUAACACGUGGGCAAUCUGCCGAGAAGUGGGGGAUAGCUCGCCGAAAGGCGGAUUAAUACCGCAUGUGGUGAGGGAAGACAUCUUCCUGAAUCCAAAGCCGGGGUAACCUGGCGCUUUUUGAGGAGCCCGCGGCCUAUCAGCNGUUGGUGAGGUAACGGCUCACCAAGGCUUUGACGGGUAGCUGGUCUGAGAGGACGACCAGUCACACUGGAACUGAGACACGGUCCAGACACCUACGGGUGGCAGCAGUCGAGAAUUUUUCUCAAUGGGGGAAACCCUGAAGGAGCGACGCCGCGUGGAGGAUGAAGGCUUUCGGGUUGGUAAACU
RNAcentral lists this ribosomal RNA (417 nucleotides) under uncultured bacterium. RNAcentral's name for it is "bacterial SSU rRNA". It matches the Rfam family "Bacterial small subunit ribosomal RNA", at positions 29 to 431 of the family's 1533-position model. The record is from RNAcentral.